AGAGGGUGCGAGCGUUAAUCGGAAUUACUGGGCGUAAAGCGCACGUAAGUGGUUCUGUAAGUCGGAUGUGAAAGCCCCGGGCUUAACCUGGGAACUGCAUUCGAGACUGCAGUACUGGAGUAUGGGAGAGGGAAGCGGAAUUUCCGGUGUAGCGGUGAAAUGCGUAGAUAUCGGAAGGAACAUCAGUGGCGAAAGCGGCUUCCUGGCCCAAUACUGACACUCAUGUGCGAAAGCGUGGGGAGCAAACAGGAUUAGAUACCCUGGUAGUCCACGCCAUAAACGAUGAGAACUAGAUGUCGAGAGGGUUAGCCUCACGGUGUCGCAGCUAACGCGUUAAGUUCUCCGCCUGGGGAGUACGGCCGCAAGGUUG
Molecule: ribosomal RNA, 370 nt
Filed under: uncultured bacterium
Lineage: Bacteria
Description: bacterial SSU rRNA
Rfam family: Bacterial small subunit ribosomal RNA
Source: RNAcentral